RNAcentral lists this ribosomal RNA (333 nucleotides) under uncultured Rhodoferax sp. RNAcentral's name for it is "bacterial SSU rRNA". It matches the Rfam family "Bacterial small subunit ribosomal RNA", at positions 1051 to 1382 of the family's 1533-position model. Lineage: Bacteria; Pseudomonadati; Pseudomonadota; Betaproteobacteria; Burkholderiales; Comamonadaceae. The record is from RNAcentral.
GUCGUCAGCUCGUGUCGUGAGAUGGUUAGGGUUAACGUCCCGACAACGAGCGACAACCUUGUCAUUAGUUGCUACAUUUAGUUGGGCACUCUAAUGAGACUGCCGGUGACAAACCGGAGGAAGGUGGGGAUGACGUCAAGUCCUCAUGGCCCUUAUAGGUGGGGCUACACACGUCAUACAAUGGCUGGUACAAAGGGUUGCCAACCCGCGAGGGGGAGCUAAUCCCAUAAAGCCAGUCGUAGUCCGGAUCGUAGUCUGCAACUCGACUGCGUGAAGUCGGAAUCGCUAGUAAUCGUGGAUCAGAAUGUCACGGUGAAUACGUUCCCGGGUCUU